GGGGGUGACUGGUUUCGACGUCGGUCACGAAGCCAUCGGAGCAUGUCGAGGUGUAGAGUUCCUCGUAAAUCCAGCUACACAAAAACAGUUGCCAACGACGACAACUACGCACUAGCCGCUUAAGUCGGCUAGUCCUUUCACCUGGCUCGCCUUCCGGCUGGGGUUUGAAAGGUCAAAUUAGAAAGGCUCGCUAGUCAGAUCUGUUCGUUAUCUGACGGUUAAAACCAAUCGAACUCGCCGCUCUGUAAGUCCGUCAGCCUACUGGCAGAGAGGUUAACUUAAAGCGCAGACUAAGCAUGUAGUAGCCGGUGAGUGUAGGAUCUACGGACGCGGGUUCGAUUCCCGCCACCUCCACCA
RNAcentral lists this transfer-messenger RNA (357 nucleotides) under Arenicellales. RNAcentral's name for it is "WLWV01 sp011088265 Standard tmRNA". It matches the Rfam family "transfer-messenger RNA". Rfam says of the family: Bacterial tmRNA, also known as 10Sa RNA or SsrA, is named for its dual tRNA and mRNA-like properties. Its role is to liberate the mRNA from a stalled ribosome. To accomplish this part of the tmRNA is used as a reading frame that ends in a translation stop signal. The record is from RNAcentral. Lineage: Bacteria; Pseudomonadati; Pseudomonadota; Gammaproteobacteria. RNAcentral also lists the same sequence under 1 other name.